Molecule: transfer RNA, 72 nt
Filed under: Aplysina cauliformis (row pore rope sponge)
Lineage: Eukaryota; Metazoa; Porifera; Demospongiae; Verongiida; Aplysinidae
Also listed under: 2 other names
Description: tRNA-Asp
Rfam family: tRNA
About the family: Transfer RNA (tRNA) molecules are approximately 80 nucleotides in length. Their secondary structure includes four short double-helical elements and three loops (D, anti-codon, and T loops).
Source: RNAcentral
GGGAUUAUAGUUAAAUUGGAAUAACAAUUGGUUGUCAUCCGAUAAAUACGGGUUCAAUUCCCGUUAAUCCCG